AAAGAAAAAAAAUUCCCCAUGUCCCCUAGGGGGCUCCGUAGGGUUCUUUGUUUUCUUUGUGGACUUUUUUUUCUUUUUUUCUUUUUUCUUUCCUCUGUUGCUACUCACCGUUCAUCCACCAGAUGGCGCCAAACGUUCCUCUUGCCGGAGAGGUGUGCCGUCAUCGUGCACACCAGAGUCCAAUCAUCUCAUCAAUCAAGAGGAGCCGACCAGUGGCACAACAGGUGGCUCUAGUGCAACGCAUGGGGGCGCUGCAGUAGAGGGGGCGCAAAAACGAUGUAGUUUGAGCAGCGGCCCUUCCAGAACCCGCUGAGGCGCCUUUUUUUUUUUUCUUUUAAAUUUGUCGUAACGCCUCGACAACAAGGAGCUAAAGAUGGGGCAGAAAAAACUCCGGGGCACAAAACAGAAAACGGAAGAGGGGGAAGGAUAAAGAUGUUGGAGAGACGAAGAAAAUCUUUUCAAAGUGGUUGAAAGACAGAAGGUAAGUAAUGUCAGUGUAAGUGUCACUAAAAUAAUUUAUUUCUUGAAAAAUUUUAUGUUUAUUUCUAAAAAUUAGAAUAACGUAUUCUAAGUUGGUUCAUGUUUUAAGAUUUGUGUUAAAUGAUUGUAUUUUAUUACGACUCAAACUAUUUUGUUGGAAGUUAUCGCGAGAUUUGUGUUCAUGCGUGAGGCUGCGAGAUUUGAAUAAACAUAGAAGAAGCAGAAGCCUGGAACUGAGCUACACGCAGCAGCCUCGUGUCUCCGGUAGCAGUCAAGAGUGAACAACGACGAAUUAUUCGGUUAAAGACCUCCGAAGUGGCAGGCGGCCACGAGUUUUCACGGCGUUUAAUAAAGAGCCCGUCAAAAGGAAGCCGUGCCAGUGUUGUCGCUUUGGAGUUACA
Molecule: long non-coding RNA, 881 nt
Organism: Gambusia affinis (western mosquitofish)
Lineage: Eukaryota; Metazoa; Chordata; Actinopteri; Cyprinodontiformes; Poeciliidae
Exons: 4
Source: RefSeq, a predicted model, not a curated record